RNAcentral lists this ribosomal RNA (662 nucleotides) under uncultured bacterium. Its description in RNAcentral is "bacterial SSU rRNA". It matches the Rfam family "Bacterial small subunit ribosomal RNA", at positions 99 to 795 of the family's 1533-position model. The record is from RNAcentral.
CGGACGGGUGAGUAACGCGUGAGAAUCUGCCCUCAGGAGGGGGAUAACAGUUGGAAACGACUGCUAAUACCCCAUAUGCCGAAAGGUGAAACGAAUUUCGCCUGGGGAUGAGCUCGCGUCUGAUUAGCUUGUUGGUGGGGUAAAGGCCUACCAAGGCUUCGAUCAGUAGCUGGUCUGAGAGGACGAUCAGCCACACUGGGACUGAGACACGGCCCAGACUCCUACGGGAGGCAGUAGUGGGGAAUUUUCCGCAAUGGGCGAAAGCCUGACGGAGCAACGCCGCGUGAGGGAUGAAGGCCUUUGGGCUGUAAACCUCUUUUCUCAAGGAAGAAGAUCUGACGGUACUUGAGGAAUAAGCCACGGCUAAUUCCGUGCCAGCAGCCGCGGUAAUACGGGAGUGGCAAGCGUUAUCCGGAAUUAUUGGGCGUAAAGCGUCCGCAGGCGGCCGUCUAAGUCUGUUGUUAAAUCGUGGAGCUUAACUCCAUCACGGCAAUGGAAACUGUUCGGCUUGAGUGUGGUAGGGGCAGAGGGAAUUUCCGGUGUAGCGGUGAAAUGCGUAGAUAUCGGGAAGAACACCAGUGGCGAAAGCGCUCUGCUAGGCCAUUACUGACGCUCAUGGACGAAAGCCAGGGGAGCGAAAGGGAUUAGAUACCCCUGUAGUC